UUAAUUGAAGAGUUUGAUCAUGGCUCAGAUUGAACGCUGGCGGCAGGCCUAACACAUGCAAGUCGAGCGGCAGCACAGAGGAACUUGUUCCUUGGGUGGCGAGCGGCGGACGGGUGAGUAAUGCCUGGGAAAUUGCCCGGUAGAGGGGGGAUAACCAUUGGAAACGAUGGCUAAUACCGCAUAACCUCGCAAGAGCAAAGCAGGGGACCUUCGGGCCUUGCGCUACCGGAUAUGC
RNAcentral lists this ribosomal RNA (235 nucleotides) under Vibrio cholerae. RNAcentral's name for it is "partial 16S ribosomal RNA". It matches the Rfam family "Bacterial small subunit ribosomal RNA", at positions 1 to 230 of the family's 1533-position model. The record is from RNAcentral. Lineage: Bacteria; Pseudomonadati; Pseudomonadota; Gammaproteobacteria; Vibrionales; Vibrionaceae.